RNAcentral lists this ribosomal RNA (253 nucleotides) under uncultured bacterium. Its description in RNAcentral is "partial 16S ribosomal RNA". It matches the Rfam family "Bacterial small subunit ribosomal RNA", at positions 524 to 776 of the family's 1533-position model. The record is from RNAcentral.
UACAGAGGGUGCAAGCGUUAAUCGGAAUUACUGGGCGUAAAGCGCGCGUAGGUGGUUUGUUAAGUUGAAUGUGAAAUCCCCGGGCUUAACCUGGGAACUGCAUUUGGGACUGCAAGGCUUGAGUACGGCAGAGGGGGGUAGAAUUCCUGGUGUAGCAGUGAAAUGCGUAGAUAUCAGGAGGAAUACCGAUGGCGAAGGCAGCCCCCUGGGUCGAUGCUGACGCUCAUGCACGAAAGCGUGGGGAGCAAACAGG